This 483-nucleotide ribosomal RNA is filed under the name uncultured bacterium. RNAcentral describes it as "bacterial SSU rRNA". It matches the Rfam family "Bacterial small subunit ribosomal RNA", at positions 328 to 803 of the family's 1533-position model. The record is from RNAcentral.
GAAUUCAACUCCUACGGGAGGCAGCAGUGGGGAAUAUUGGACAAUGGGCGAAAGCCUGAUCCAGCCAUGCCGCGUGUGUGAAGAAGGUCUUCGGAUUGUAAAGCACUUUAAGUUGGGAGGAAGGGCAGUUACCUAAUACGUGAUUGUUUUGACGUUACCGACAGAAUAAGCACCGGCUAACUCUGUGCCAGCAGCCGCGGUAAUACAGAGGGUGCAAGCGUUAAUCGGAAUUACUGGGCGUAAAGCGCGCGUAGGUGGUUUGUUAAGUUGGAUGUGAAAUCCCCGGGCUCAACCUGGGAACUGCAUUCAAAACUGACUGACUAGAGUAUGGUAGAGGGUGGUGGAAUUUCCUGUGUAGCGGUGAAAUGCGUAGAUAUAGGAAGGAACACCAGUGGCGAAGGCGACCACCUGGACUGAUACUGACACUGAGGUGCGAAAGCGUGGGGAGCAAACAGGAUUAGAAACCCUAGUAGUCCAGGCGUU